Molecule: transfer RNA, 65 nt
Filed under: Pityophthorus pubescens
Lineage: Eukaryota; Metazoa; Arthropoda; Insecta; Coleoptera; Curculionidae
Description: tRNA-Gly
Source: RNAcentral
ACUUAAAUAAUAUAAAAAUUAUAAUUGACUUCCAAUCAGUAAAUCUAGCAAAACUAGCUUAAGUA